CAGGUGUUCGCACAAAUACUGGAGAACGCCGAGAAGCUGGGCCUGAAAGAUCUGCGGCCACUCACACGCCACAGGACACCCACCGGGGAGCCGUCAGCCCGCCACCGGCAUC
Pollicipes pollicipes is the source of this 112-nucleotide long non-coding RNA. RefSeq lists it as uncharacterized. Lineage: Eukaryota; Metazoa; Arthropoda; Thecostraca; Pollicipedomorpha; Pollicipedidae. The record is from RefSeq and is a predicted model, not a curated record. The transcript has 3 exons.